GGGAGGGCUGCUUGCUCCUGGCAUCUAGUAGGUAGAGGCUGGAGGAGGGGUCGCUUAAUGGCCUACAAUACACUGAACAGCCCUCUGCAACAGAGAACCCUACAGGUCAGUAGUGCUGGUGGUGACAAAUCCUGUUGUAGAGAUGCCUUCCACUUCUGGUCACUGACAACUCAGGUUGUCAAAAUGAAAUGAUCAACAAACAGUAUAAGGUCUUGAUAGAUUCACUUUAUGGAUUGGUAACCUGGAACCCAAGGUCCUACAAGCAGUAAGAUAUGGGAGCAGAGAUCUGUCUGUUCCAAAGUCUGCAACAUUCUCUAACAGCAUACUGAGACCUAGGAGUCAGGGAACAGGAGUGGGAGAAGGAUACUGUUCUCUGACAAUCAGAAUUCAAGUAUUUCAAGUCAAUGGCUUGCAAGAGAAAAUGGACUAUUACUCCACCUAAACAACAUCGCAUGAGUCCUACAAACUAUGCAACACAGGAUUUUCCCUGCAGUAUUCUAAUGUACCAUUUUGUGUUUUUCCUACUGGAUCUACUAAAUGGUUUGGGUGCUGUAAAAAAACACAAAUUUGGUCCCAGGAUCAUUUGUCUGAGUUCCACUUGGAGAGUUAAGAGUACAAACUCACCUUUUUUUUCUUUUGAAGAAUCUCUGCGGGAAGGUAGUGAUGAAGUUGUUUUUUUUUAACAUGAGUUGCUUCAAUUUUCAUUCCCUCCUUUAGCAUGUUUAUAUUGUUUGCCUGUCUGUACACUGUAACAAAGUCAGUAUGUUAAAUGGGGAAAUUCUUUCUGAAUCAAGAGCUUUGCUUUUUUUCUGAAAUUUGUACCUUCAAUAUAUCCCCAUUACUACACACACACAUUCCUCUUACAGAACAAAUACAUACUCCCAAAACAUUUUCACGUCACAAUCCUACUCAAGUACUGACUAGUUUUCUCAUGUCAACUCUUUAAGACUUUCCUAUAAUCAAAUCUCAUUAACAGAUAAAUGUAUGGAAGAAAAUUUUUUUCCAAAUCUUAUUUUCUGCUAUUUUCCCCAAAGGCAAUCUCUUCUUAUAAUUACUUGCCCAAGUCCAAGUUAAUCCUUAUACUAAAUAUCCAAGAUGCAAACUCAAGCUCUCCUCCUCCAUGAAGCUUCUUUUAUUACACCAAGCACAGAAUGUCAGAUAUCAGAAACCAUCCAGAAGUACUCCCUUAUUACACAGGUGGGGAAAUGAGGCUCAACAGCCCUGAAUGCCUUGCCGAAACUGGUAUACACACAGCCCUGGAUUCCCAUUCUAGUGCUUUUCACACCGUAUAAGAAAAUCAGUAUUAUUAACUACCACGUAAAUUAUUUAACCUAUGUUAACUGUGAAUACCCAAAACUUACCCAAGGAUGGGAGGUUUCUUUUGCACAGUAAUUACUGUGAAAUGUAAAUUAUUUACUCUUGGGGCCUUAGUAUCUCUAACUGGAGAAGAACACUUUAUAAAUCUAUAAUAAACAGAGCUUCCCAACCUCCUCCUUUUGGAAAAACAGGUCCAAAUUAGAAUGGAAAAAUGUGUACCUAUGCUUUUGUUCCAGAUUACUUAUAAAACAAUCACCAGGAGUGCUUGUUCAAUGUGCAGACUCCUAGCUCUACUUCCCAGAGUGUGUGAUUUAAUAGUUCUAAGGUGAUGCACAGGAACCUACACUUUCAUGAUAAAUAUGAAGGCUAGUUCAAAAGAAUUUAGAAAACUCAGAUGGGCUAACCAAGAAUAUUAAUAGUAUGAGUGUAUACUAUUCCAGAUUUUAAGACAACUCCAGAUUUGUAAGAGAUAUAUUAAGAUAUUCCACAGAGAUGUUAUUAGAGAGCCAGAUGUGAAAACUCUUUUCAUUGAUUCUGAAUAUAUUCAGCAAGUCUGUACUGACUGAUACUUAUGAAAACAUAAUAAGCAAGUCAUCUUUAUGAUUGUGAUUAUAAACUGUGGCUAUGCACACUAAAAAUCACCUGCAGAGUUUCUUUAGUCUUCCUUCUGUUUUAAAACAGUUAACACAUUCACAUGAUACAGAAUGGCUGGAGAGUAUACAGCGAAGUCUCCUCACCCCAGUCCAGUAGGCACACUUGGUUCUCCCUGAUCUAAAAAGAACCAGUUCUACCAGUUUCUUUCUUUAAAACUAUAUAUCCUUCCAGAGAUAGUCCACAUUUUUUUAAGCAAACAUGCACAUAUUCUUUCUUUACUUCUUUAUACUAAUGGUAGCACACUAUACAUACUAGUCUGCAGUCGUGCCCCACUCCCCCACCUAAUAUGUCUUGGAAAUUGUUUUAUCAUGCCUUUACUUUUUUAAUAGCAGCACAGAUUUUCAUAAUAUAAAUGUACUAUAUUCAUUUAACCAAUUGUGGAACUUCAAAAAAGCAUAGCCAGCCAGAUACUAGGCAGAUGAUACUGUGUUAUAGCCAAAGUUGAGAAUCACAGCUCUAUAAGGACCAAGUCUUACCUGUAUCAGUAAAUGACUGUAUAUCAUAUGUCAGGUCUAUAUUAACACUUUCUGCAUUUUCUACUCUCCGGAAAAUUAUUCCAAGGAACCACAUUGAUACAUAAUUGUUGCUAUAAAGUAAAAUUUAAGAAUUUCCAUUAGUUUUUACAAUUUUACACAUGCUCUUUAGUAAUUAAAAAUUCAUCUCUAUGAAAAGUAUAAGCAUAUUUUAGUGGUUUGGCCAAAUUCUUAAAACUGACACCAAGAACACUAUUAAGUUAUCCUGCGUUAUUAUAAAGAAGAUUAAGUGGCUUUGAAAAUGAUUUACUUAAAAUAUAUUUAAAGAUACUCCAAAUAUUGUGAUGGAGUUUUUGCUGGGGUCUGUGGGGUACCAACAUAGCAUGUACUUCGUUUUAACACAUGACCACUCAUGCUCAAGUAUACAAUGUAUCAUCCUCCAUCAAUGCCUGUUAAGUAACAAUUUCACAACUGAUCUUAAACAAUACUAUGUCAGAUAACAUUAUUUAAGAUAUAUAAUAUUAAAAAAUAAUUAACUUAC
This is a non-coding RNA of Vicugna pacos (alpaca), 2985 nucleotides long. The record is from RefSeq and is a predicted model, not a curated record. NCBI's taxonomy places the organism in Eukaryota, Metazoa, Chordata, Mammalia, Artiodactyla, Camelidae.